Molecule: ribosomal RNA, 256 nt
Filed under: uncultured bacterium
Lineage: Bacteria
Description: partial 16S ribosomal RNA
Rfam family: Bacterial small subunit ribosomal RNA
Source: RNAcentral
GUCCACGCCGUAAACGAUGGAUACUAGCUGUUGGGAGCAAUCUCAGUGGCUAAGCGAAAGUGAUAAGUAUCCCACCUGGGGAGUACGUUCGCAAGAAUGAAACUCAAAGGAAUUGACGGGGGCCCCGCACAAGCGGUGGAGCAUGUGGUUUAAUUCGAUGAUACGCGAGGAACCUUACCAAGGCUUAAAUGUAGUUUGACCGAUUUGGAAACAGAUCUUUCGCAAGACAAAUUACAAGGUGCUGCAUGGUUGUCGU